This 215-nucleotide unclassified non-coding RNA is filed under the name Hevea brasiliensis (rubber tree). The record is from RNAcentral. Lineage: Eukaryota; Viridiplantae; Streptophyta; Magnoliopsida; Malpighiales; Euphorbiaceae.
AUCAUAUUAGUAUUUGUUUCACAGUAUAUGCCCCAUGUGAUAAAGUCUGGAAGACAUUUAUUUGAUCGUUUUGCUGUAAUAUUCUCAGUGGUAAUUGUAUGGAUUUACGCUCACCUACUUACUGUGGGUGGGGCCUACAAUGGUGCAGCACCUAAGACACAAAAUACUUGUCGUACUGAUCGUGCAGGACUUAUAGAUGCUGCUCCAUGGAUAAG